CCUCCAGAGCCUCUGGAAGUCACGCAACCUCUGAAAAUCAUGCAAGAACGGACUGUGCUUUUGGACAGUUUUCACAGGCUGUAGAAGAGCAUUCUUCAAAGUCACUUCAAGAAUAAAAGUCUUGUGUGUCUCAGGUAGGCCGCAGGAGCCUGUAAAUAGAAAGAGAACACAGCCUGAAGAUAUAGGUAGUACAUUGGAUAUGAAGAACCAUUCAAGUUGUUGCUGCUUGAAGAAGGCCUUAAGUAAACAUUCUGGGUUUCUUGGAUUAAAAAAGAAGCAAAAUUGAUGUACUAAUGACUAUCAUUAAGUAUUGUAAGUGUUGUACCUUGAUGAAGAUAUCUUUUCUUUUAUGUAUAAUGAGAGCGUAUGCACCAAGACAAAUUCCUUGUGUGUCCAAUCACACUUGGCCAAUAAAAAAUUCUAUUCUGUUC
Molecule: long non-coding RNA, 431 nt
Organism: Ahaetulla prasina
Lineage: Eukaryota; Metazoa; Chordata; Lepidosauria; Squamata; Colubridae
Exons: 2
Source: RefSeq, a predicted model, not a curated record